Long non-coding RNA from Chinchilla lanigera (long-tailed chinchilla), 408 nucleotides. RefSeq lists it as uncharacterized. The transcript is spliced from 3 exons. NCBI's taxonomy places the organism in Eukaryota, Metazoa, Chordata, Mammalia, Rodentia, Chinchillidae. The record is from RefSeq and is a predicted model, not a curated record.
GAUACGAGAAACUACCCACCCGAAUUUAUCAGAGGAGUGCGAGGACGGCUUCACAGCAGCAAGUCUGGUUCCAGGCAGGGGCCUGAGCAACCACGACAGGGCGAUUGUCAGGGUGUGACCCCUGCAGUCGGCUCCAAGAUGAUUCCAACCACUGCUAUGCAUCAGUUCUCAAACAGGAGCUGCAAGAGAGACUGGAACGCACAGAGGGGCAGCCGAUGAGCUUGGGUCUCCUUGGAACAUGGGCUGCUCUCCCAGAUGUGCAGGUGGCUCCCACACGCCAGCGGCAGACACUGAUCCCCCAGCUCAUCCAGCGCAUCAUUGUGGCGAGAGGAAUCAGAAGGUGACAGACUGCAGACAGGGAGAUGGCCCUUGGUGGGCGUGGCCUAAUCAGAUGAGGAGCAGAGAUCC